This 433-nucleotide ribosomal RNA is filed under the name uncultured bacterium. RNAcentral's name for it is "partial 16S ribosomal RNA". It matches the Rfam family "Bacterial small subunit ribosomal RNA", at positions 29 to 507 of the family's 1533-position model. The record is from RNAcentral.
AGCGAACGCUGGCGGCAGGCUUAACACAUGCAAGUCGAGCGGGCACUUCGGUGUCAGCGGCAGACGGGUGAGUAACACGUGGGAACGUACCCUUUGGUUCGGAAUAACGCUGGGAAACUAGCGCUAAUACCGGAUACGCCUUUUUGGGGAAAGGCUUGCUGCCGAAGGAUCGGCCCGCGUCUGAUUAGCUAGUUGGUGGGGUAAUGGCCUACCAAGGCGACGAUCAGUAGCUGGUCUGAGAGGAUGAUCAGCCACACUGGGACUGAGACACGGCCCAGACUCCUACGGGAGGCAGCAGUGGGGAAUAUUGGACAAUGGGCGCAAGCCUGAUCCAGCCAUGCCGCGUGAGUGAUGAAGGCCUUAGGGUUGUAAAGCUCUUUUGUCCGGGACGAUAAUGACGGUACCGGAAGAAUAAGCCCCGGCUAACUUCGUG